Molecule: long non-coding RNA, 964 nt
Organism: Drosophila montana
Lineage: Eukaryota; Metazoa; Arthropoda; Insecta; Diptera; Drosophilidae
Exons: 2
Source: RefSeq, a predicted model, not a curated record
AUAGUUUUAUAAUUUUACGAGCUUUUCUUUUUAGCUUUUAUAACAAAAAAAGAAUUGUUAACCGUGCAAAAGUCCAGCACCAAAAAUGUUUCCGGCAACUAGAACUGAGUCUACAAUGACUAAUAAUACAACUGUGAACACAACAUCGAACCUGCAUAGGUUUAACAUAUUGACAUACAGUGCGUCCACCCAGACAAGCUCCACACGGCCUUCACCAGUAGUGGCUACAUUGACCAGAGUUGAAGACGCAUCGACAGGAGCUCCAUCAAUGGACGGGUUGACCUCGCUCUUUACAGACCUAAACAUACUGACAGCCGGAAAAUCGACAAGAACAACAAGUACAUCAACUUAAUAACUUUCAAAACUACCGCGGUGCCACCACAAUGCAUUUCCUGGCAGCACAACUAAUCUAGCUGAAGGCUCACACAUAUCGAGGCCAAAAGCAUCGCCACAAGCUUCAAUAUCAUGGCAAGAAUCUGUGUUCGCCAUGGAUGUGCUGUACACAGCAAUUGUUAUGUCAGAGCCAGAGUCGAAUACAAAAGCUGCUGUAUGGCGCAGGAAGCUGACUGCUGCUAGCAUCAACACAACCCAAAAACAUGGCACCUUCAGGCUUUAUAACUAGACUUUAACCUAUACAACCCAAUGCAUUGUCGUGGACCGAAGAAGAGGCAACAAAUAAUAAGAACGCGGAGAACAGCAGUCCGAAACGAAAAAAUGAGGAAACACUGAAGUAUAGAAAUGAAGAUAGAAUAUAAAGUCCGAUUUAUUAUAGCUUGCCCACAUUCUUAUAAAACCCAACCCGAAAUUCAUUUUGGUGAAGAUUAUAACUCGGAAGAAAAAUAUUCGCAUCAACAUUAACAAAGGUUUUCAACGAAUAAGCGGAAUCGGAAUGCAAUUGUAUAACUUCAUGAGCUUCUCCUUCAUAUAUCAGCACCAUAUCCAAAAGAUCUUUUUAUACAAUUGC